GUGUGCAAACACAGAUUACGUUCACAAGAGAUUUAUUGCAUUUGGUUGACUGGUUUUAUUAUGGUCUCAGACAUUGUUAGCUGAAAACUGCAUUUCUGAAACUUGAGGAGGGUGAACAAGUCUUGCUUUGCUCUUAACUUGCAUCUAUCCAUGUCAAUAUCAGUACAGGACUGACACUUCUUCUAACAUUACACAUAAUACAAUACCUUAUGCUUACACUUCUGGCCGUUGGCUAGAUCAUAGCAAGCAUGCUUUUACAAGUGACAGUGGUGUAUCCCUUACAGUGGUGUUGCGAGGCAGAUAACAAGCAGCCAUAAUUAUGAUCGAUUUGUAAGUCAGCACAAAAUGCUUUUGCAGGAAACAAUGUUUAUAAUUGACAAUAUGUGUUUUGUUAAAAGUUAGAUGAGCAUAAUUAACCGUUUUGAUGUCUGUUUUUUCCCAUGUUUAAAGAGUGUAACAGCAUACUGAAGACAAAAUUUGAUCUCAAAUCAGUAAGAAUGUUAUGCUACACACUUAACCAUUCAAAGUAAGAUCAUAUAACAACAAGAUCCAGUAAGAAACACUUCUCUUUGGCAUUCAAGUGCUCUAACGCAAGUCAUGUGGGGCCCUCAUGACAAAGAGCUUUCAUCAGUUUACCACCAUCAGUGGUUUUUUGGCAAAGGUAGAUCUUUCCUAUUAUUCAGCGCCACCAACUGUAAAGGGGCUAGUUGGACAAGACAUGAUUCAUAUGACUGGCAGUUGCUGAAUGUACCACGGCUAUGAUUUCAGAACCUAACACCAUCCUUUAUAAGGAGCCAAAACAACGACAAUUUCAUUCCCUCACUGGGACUGAAGCCAGUGUGCAUGCAGGAUUUCUUUCCCUGGACGUGUUCAACUGACUUUACUACAACAUGGGAUCAAGGAUGUUUUUGCUGUUGGUUCUUGCACUGCUUAUAUUUACUGAUCACAGCCGAGGGGUUCCUGAGACACACGAUCAAUCCUUGAUCGUCAAUUUAUCCGCUGAUGCCUCUGAUGUUGGAGAACCACUGACUACUGCAAAUCCAGUCAACGCCCCAAGACAGAACCACCAAGAGUGCUGUAAAGGAAAGGGAAAAGAGAUGGUGAGUUGUCGUUGUCAGCAGUCUGCCAGACGCAACAAUAUCGGGCAUGGAAAAAUGAAAAGGAAGUGCCACAAGAAAAACAAUAAGAAUCUGAAGAAAUGCAUGGUUGUCAAACAGAACAGGGGUAACACCAAGAAGUAUGGUCCCAGUGUCCCCAUAUGA
RNAcentral lists this long non-coding RNA (1262 nucleotides) under Dicentrarchus labrax (European seabass). RNAcentral describes it as "lncRNA (ENSDLAG00005031293.1)". The record is from RNAcentral. Lineage: Eukaryota; Metazoa; Chordata; Actinopteri; Moronidae.